GGAUAUACAUAUUCCGUCAUGGCAACUGCUGCGCCAACAUAAAAUGCUUAAACAAUUUUUAUAGGUAAAUAUUUACGGUUCAAUGUUUUCCCGUUUUUUCUCCGCCCGUAGAUCUUUUGGUUCCAUUUUCGGAUGGGAUUUCCUCCCACACAGUGCCUGGUGCUAAUCGACAGACGUCAACUUUGAUUGAAUUUAAACACGGAAUGUUUUUCACUCGUGCCGAGCAGUUAUCAAAUUUAUGAAUAACUAAUGAAAAACAAUCCCAGCCCCCACUUGCCCCCCCUAUCAAGCGAAAUGAAUGGGUAUUAAUUGAUUGGGGCUAUUUUUUGUACAUACAAAUAUGGAUUUUUAUUUGAUACAUUUAGUGGCAGUUAAGCAACGGAAAUAAGCGGUCUUAUAGUUAAGGAAACUCCUGCGAUUCGUGCAUGACUUUAUUCAAAAAUGUCUCAAAUAUGUUACCCGUACUACUGAUUGUGAGUUACAGCUGAAAAACAGAGUAAAGGCGAAAUAGGGAGACACUAUGAGAGAUGGAGAUACAUGGAAUGGAAUGCAUGCAAAUUGGACAUUGCACUGAUGAGCGAUGUGUCUCUGGCACGGUCGCUGUUGGACUUUCUGCCUCGUCUGCUUCGGCAGUAGCUUGUUUAAUUGCAACUAAAAGCGGAAGGCAACAGCAGGCGGAGGAGGAGCAGGAGCAGUGGAGCGGAGCGGAGGAACCAACGUUGACUGCUCCCCUGAACUGUGUCAAAAACAAGGGCCAGAACAGCAGGGCAGCAGUAAAAAAUAUACGGAACGAGACUAAAGAUUCACACACAAGUUUGUUGUUUAGUUCUGUUUGGUUUUUUGUUUGUUUGUUUGUUAGUCCAUCUGUGCAGGUGUGCGUGUGUUUCUGUUUCUGUUUGUUCGCUGCCCGUUGCUUCCUGCAAUUUGCGCUCUGGCAAAGCUUCCUUUUUAAGCCCGUGCCACGGACCAGGAGCUGGAGCAGGAGCCGGUGCCGCAGGUGUUGGACUGAAGCGGCAGCGGCAGCAUCGGUAUCAGCGGAGGUGAGAAACAGUGUUCCAAAAGCACUUUUUAAAGUCCCAAGAUAUUGUUAUUACUAGCGGUUUUGAGUGGAUCCGCCACACUAGACGUGAACCACUGUGCACUGGCGUAGACGGUGACUGCGGCGGCGGCAACAUCCUCUGCUAUCUGCUUGCUGCAGCCGAACAGUCGGCGCGAGAGGUGCUCGGAAGAUGAGGAGGAGAGGAGAAGAGUGGAGAACGGAUGGGUGGGUGGGUGUGGGGUUGGGACAAACAGAAACCGACGCGGCUUUCCUUUUUGACACACCAUUUUGCAUGUUGCAUGAAGCUGCCAUGUGUGUGUGCGUGUCUUCUUCUAUCCCACUCUGUAUCCCUCCUUCUCUCUCUCGCUCUGUGUGCAUGGCGCAUAUGUCACUUGUCUAAAUAGCAGCGACACCGUUCACCUGUAUCAGUGUGUGUGUGUGUGUAGUGUGCUUGGAACUGCCCGACGCACAGUGGUCUCCACUCAAGUACAUUGAUCGGAGCCUUCAGGGAAUACCCAAUCCAAUAAUUAUAGGCUUUGCAGCUUAUAGAUUUCCUAAAUUAUAAUAAAUAAAAAUACCACUUUUUCGGAAAAAAGUCCCACUGUGCACCGGAUGUUGCUGAAAAGGGGAAUGGUGGGUGGGGUGGAAGCAAUGGAUGAACGGGGGUCAGGAUGACACCGGACUGCACUGUCCAUGCAUGCAAAUGCAACAUUUGCAACUGUUCUUUCUCUUUCGUUCGCUCACAUUUUUUCUUACUUUUCGCCGACAAGGUGGCAACACUGACACCCGGCAACGGCAAAGACAACUACAACUACAACUACAGCGGCAAACCGGCAGUAAUUUGGCCACCUUGUCUAGGUGUGUUUGUUUAGAGGAGCAGAAAGGUACAGCACAGAGGGCAGCAGUAGAGUGCGUUGCAACAUGGCAUAGGAGAGACGGAAAAAAGCCAGAGACGAAGCAGAAAGCUAAAUGGAAACCGAAAAGCGGGAUGGACAGGAACAGGAAUCUAAAUGUGGGGAAUGAACAGACAUAACUAUUAAACGAAUCUCCAGAAUUGGACAAACACACA
RNAcentral lists this small RNA (2108 nucleotides) under Drosophila pseudoobscura pseudoobscura. RNAcentral describes it as "GA32747". The record is from RNAcentral. Lineage: Eukaryota; Metazoa; Arthropoda; Insecta; Diptera; Drosophilidae.